This is a microRNA precursor of Saccoglossus kowalevskii, 76 nucleotides long. The record is from RefSeq. Lineage: Eukaryota; Metazoa; Hemichordata; Enteropneusta; Harrimaniidae.
GUUGUUUUAGGGAAUGUUCAAUAACUGGUUGGACCAAGCCGUUUGAUUAGUAUGUUGUAAGGUUUUCUCAAACUUG